Calidris pugnax (ruff) is the source of this 2739-nucleotide long non-coding RNA. RefSeq lists it as uncharacterized. The record is from RefSeq and is a predicted model, not a curated record. NCBI's taxonomy places the organism in Eukaryota, Metazoa, Chordata, Aves, Charadriiformes, Scolopacidae. The transcript has 2 exons.
CGGAGGAGCUUCUCCUUCACAUAGGCGGAGCCGCCCGCCAAUCAGCAACGACAGCCAAUAGCGUGAGGACGCAGCGCGCCUUAGCCCACCCAGCGACCCUGAGGCUACUUCGCUUUCCUAUUUGUGGAGGGAACGGCAUCGCUGCAGUUGCAUUGGGGGCAGGAACUGCCAAUCUAACGGGAUCUGGUUAAUUCCCUCCCACUCCUCCGAUGCGAUUGGUCAGGUUGCCCCGCUGAGGUGUUUUGCUCGGGAAACCCUGGGGGGCGCGUGACUUCCGUUUCCGGGUAACAGCCGUGCUUAUGGCGGCGGGACCCCGUGCGCCUCAGUCGCCUUCUGUUGGGCCCAACGGCGAGAUGCACGGGCCGCGCUUCCCCGCCGCGGGGUGCGGAGCCGCCCGGUUCCCUCCUUGUCCUCGGGGCGGCUGGGGCGGAGGCUGAGCGGUGCGGCGGGGAGGCCAGUGGGGCUGCUGCCGCCGCCUUGACCCGCUCCCCUCGGGCCUGGCGUUUAGUGCCGGGAGAGGAGCCAGAGUUACCGGUAGCUCUGCACGGCUUGGUCUGUCGCCAGAACAGCCGGUGGGGCUGGCAGCGGGAUGGGGCGGGCGGGGCGUGCCCCGGGGCGGGUUGGGUCGGUGCUGGAAGACGGACGGAACCGGCCGCCAUCAGCCGGGGAAGCCCUGGAUGCGGACGCGUCCUGGGGGCGGCCGUGCGGGCAGCCCCGGAGCUGCUGGGCAGCCGCCGGGGUCUUUCCGGGACCUCGGAGCGGAGCGCGGAGUCUCCUGCAGCAGCCAGGCCCACCUUAUAAUGAUUUAAAUCAUCUGUUCAGAAGAAAUAUUAAUGGGACUCCCAUAAGACUCCUGACAUCUUGCUGAUGUUCCUGUUAGAAGACCUAUCGCCUCAUUUUGAAAACAGUAAUAAAAGCACAAGUAUUCAAACUGCAGGGCUUAAAUGCUCACAGUUACUCACAAACUAAGUUACUUCCAGGCAUUCUGCUGCUGAACACAAUUACUAGCUAUGGAUUGGUGGUUUGAGAAUUUUAUAUAGUGUGCAAGAAGGUAGACAGCUAAGAAUGAUCCCGUCAGAAAGUUUUUAGUUCGUUUUGCUUUUAAAAAGGGGAGGGCUAAAUUCACUGGUGAGAAGGAUGGGAAGGAAAGUCUCAUUUCAGCUUAUCGGAACAGGACACCUCUUUCUGUCCAAGUCUGAUAUCUGUGUGUCUUUCUAACUUGUGAUAGUGCCUCGAAAUGAAGUCCCUUAUUGUGCCUUAACAAUUGAGCUCUACUUAGCCAAUUUUAUUGUUUCUUGAAGCUUUUUAGUGGGUUGACUUGAGCUCUAAGUGUUCUGCAUGCUAGGUUAAUAAUUUCAACAUACCAUCAAGGCAACAUCUGGCAGCACCAACAUAUCCUCAAUUUGAGGGCAUUAAAAAUGCUUGAAAUGCAUGUACACUUCUGGACUGCACAGUUAAAGUUUGUGUGGGAUGCCUAAAUUGUGAAUGCUGAAGAAACAUCUGUGAAAAGUUCCUGAUUAUUUUGAAGAUGUACUAGUUUGAAAAAGUCGAAGCCCCACAUUUAACAAAUAGAAUAGAAUAUCAUGUUCAGGCUUGAAUGAACAAGGCACUUUAAACAAGGCACUCUUUAGACUUCAAGCUUGCUUCUUAAUGACACUGAUUUCAGUAUACACUUCUUCAUAGUAAUGCUCUGCGAAUUGUGAAGCUGUCUUGGAGCAAGGACAUGUGGUAUGACCUUAGUAAUAGAAGAGUAGAAUUAUUCUUUGGGAUAAGCAGGCUUCUUGCAACUUUUCUGCCUGGCCAGAGUCUGUUAGACCCUUGUUCCUUAUUUGCAGAUGGUAGUGGUUCUUGAGUCUUCCAGUAUUACAGAGGAAGCAUAACUUUAUAUACAUCUAACUUAUAUGCAGAGCUGAGAAAUGUUACCUCCAGUGACAACAGCUCUUGCCUCUUUUCACCCAGGAGUUAUGAAUGCCAAAAUCUUUCAUGGGCCUGAAAAAAGACUUGGGUAAACUCUAGAAAGUGAAAUUGAUCCGCUAAAUACAAAGAUGUGGUUACUGGCUCAAGUCUUGAGCCAUAGAAAGCUAGGGACUGGGAUUAUAACUCUAUGCAAAGAAAUAUGUUCUUGUGCCCCAGUUAAGCUCAAUUGGCAUACUCUGUGUGUAGCCAUGAUGACAGGAGAGCUUUUGUUGACAGCUUAUUUUCUGAACGUGCAAUUGCAGUGAGGCAAGAAAAGCUCUGAGGAGUGUGUGUUUGAUGUCCAGGAGGGAGCUCUGGCGGCUGGUGAUCCCCGAGGUACGCACUUCACUGAGGUGGCAGCCUGUAGUGACUGAAAGCUUGUUGCCUCUGAGAGUGAGUACAUCUGUUCAUCUUCAGCACUUUUGAAUUCCCUUAUCUAUUCCAUAUCAAGUUAAACACAAAAAAAAUUACAGUAAGGUGUUUUUCUGUCUCAUUUUGAGAAAUGCAUCUCAUGUUACAAAAACUUGCCUCAACUUGAAACAUCACUGGCCAUUUGAUCUCUUCUGUGGCAGAAGACAGGUAGAACCAAGCAUUUAUCAUCACACCUGAGUUUCAACUGUAUGAGAUUUCUUGAAAUAAAAAUUAAAGUUUUGUACACAUCAGUGUAUUUGUAAAAUAGAUGGAAUUACUAUGGAGAUUCUUAAUUAUAAAGUUUUUUAAAAAAUCUUAGUAUUAUUAAACUGAGUACUAUAAUAUUUCAAUAAAGAUUUUAUUUUUUCAUCA